Pangasianodon hypophthalmus (striped catfish) is the source of this 845-nucleotide long non-coding RNA. RefSeq lists it as uncharacterized. The record is from RefSeq and is a predicted model, not a curated record. Lineage: Eukaryota; Metazoa; Chordata; Actinopteri; Siluriformes; Pangasiidae. The transcript is spliced from 4 exons.
AAUACAGAGAAGCCUGAAAACACCGGGAAUGGAAACGCAAAAAAGAAAAGGAGCAGGAGAGGAACACGAGGCAAAGGAAGGAAGAUCAAUUACAAAAAGUUCCAGGACAAUAAAGCAGGACGAUCUGCAGCUGAGGCCGUAGAAAGACCACCAGAAGAUGCAGAAACAGAGAACAGCACACCUCUGGAUGAAGUAAAGGCAAAGAAGAAGGUCAGGAGAGGAACACGAGGAAGAGGGAGAAAAAUCAACUACAAGAAAGUUGAGGACAAAGAAGCUGAACAGAAUGGAGGGAGGAAAGAGCUGACUGACGCCAAAGCAUCAAGAGACCAGCGUGAACGUCAGACAGAAAGAAAGCCUCAGACACACACACGUGUGUGGACACGCCGUGACCGAGCCUGUGAGUCAGGGUGGAGAGGACCUGCUCACUGCGACCAGAGAGACAGGAGAGUCCCGAGAAGAUCAGCUCAAGAGACGCCAUCACAAGCUGGAGCCUGAUCAAUUAAACACACACACACACACACACCAAGCCCCCAUCCUCUCCUUAAGCCUAACCCUACCACCCCCCUAUUCCCCAAUCCCCAAAUAAUUAUUAACAUUAUUUUUAAAAAAUGAAUAAAAACCCUUUAUACUUUACACUUUACUUUUGUCUGCUUUCUAUGAGCAGUAAUUAUUUCUGCACAUGCACUGAGUAGUCUAAUAGGCAAGUGUCCAGUUUUAAGCUGAUAUUCCAUGUGUGCAGCUUCACUGUAGACUGUGUGCUGGGUGACUGAGGUCUCAGACGAUUCUGUGAGCUUUUCUCAGGCACCUUAACCGCUACAUGUGCUGUGUGUUUGGGAUUUUGUAGC